UUUAAUGAGAACUCCGGAUUGGCCUCCUUUGCGCUGCCUCGUGUGGUGCAUUGCGUGGCCGAGAAGUUGUUCAAAUUUGAUCAUUUAGAGGAAGUAAAAGUCGUAACAAGGUUUCCGUAGGUGAACCUGCGGAAGGAUCAUUACUGUACCUUCGUGUUUUUAAUACACUGUGAAUGUGAGCGGGACCGGCGCGUGCGUGAAUCGUGUGUGUGUGUCUGCCUCGGCAGCGCACACACGCGAGUCGCCGCCGCCUCCAGUCAACCUUUUAAACGUAUCUAUUGUAGCCGUUUAAAUGUGCGAAAUUAUUAAAAAGAGAAAACUGCUGACGGCGGAUCUCUUGGUUCGUGUAUCGAUGAAGAACGUAGCCAGUUGCGAAAAGUAAUGUGAAUUGCAGAAUGAAGUGAAUCAUCGAAUCUUUGAACGCAAAUUGCACUCUUUGGAAUUCCAUUGAGUAUGUCUGUCUGAGUGUCUUGACAAACCUUACACCCUCGGUGUGAACUCGGGCUUCCGGCUGGCGUUUAGUCAGCUCGUGCCUGCAAGACCCUACUCGGCAACGCUUGAGACAACAACGUUUGAUCUUAGACAAGCUCCGUCCGACGUCCAACCCAAUUUCAAUCAUGGACCUCAGAUCAGGCAAGACUACCCGCUGAAUUUAAGCAUAUUAAUAAGCGGAGGAAAAGAAACUAACUAGGAUUCC
RNAcentral lists this ribosomal RNA (697 nucleotides) under Plumularia lagenifera. Its description in RNAcentral is "eukaryotic LSU rRNA". The stretch from base 318 to 471 matches the Rfam family "5.8S ribosomal RNA". The record is from RNAcentral. Lineage: Eukaryota; Metazoa; Cnidaria; Hydrozoa; Leptothecata; Plumulariidae.